GGUUAAAGAAGAAACUGGAGUAAGCAAUAAAUUUACAAAGUUUUUAGACUAAAAAAAGACAUUACUUGGUAUAUAUCUAAUUUUUUAGAAGCCAUUAUAAAUUUAUGGUAUUUAAUCUUUAUUCUGAAUCAGAUUGAGGCAGAAUUUAUCGAAAUUUUAGCAUUCAGGUAAGAAAUUUGUCAUAAAUAUAUCUGUGCUCUACAUGAACUUGUGCAGUCUUUCUUGUGACUUUCUGCUAAAGAAAUCUUUCCAUCUCUAUUGCAACAAGUUACAACUAAUUAAAACCUCUAAGUUCUCAUUCAGUGUUACCUUGCACUUUGAUUUAUUCGUUUGUAUUGUUUACCCGCAGACAAAGCCAUCAUGCAUUCUUUGGCAAAUCAGAUUUAUUUUUUGUUUGCAUGCUACAACCACACUCCUUUAACAUCCGUAAGCAAGAUUCAGAGGUUGAGGCA
RNAcentral lists this unclassified non-coding RNA (452 nucleotides) under Hevea brasiliensis (rubber tree). Lineage: Eukaryota; Viridiplantae; Streptophyta; Magnoliopsida; Malpighiales; Euphorbiaceae. The record is from RNAcentral.